RNAcentral lists this ribosomal RNA (210 nucleotides) under uncultured bacterium. RNAcentral describes it as "partial 16S ribosomal RNA". It matches the Rfam family "Bacterial small subunit ribosomal RNA", at positions 524 to 733 of the family's 1533-position model. The record is from RNAcentral.
UACGGAGGGUGCGAGCGUUGUCCGGAAUCACUGGGCGUAAAGGGCGCGUAGGCGGCGCGGGGAGUCAACGGUGAAGCUCGGCGCUCAACGCCGAGUCGGCCGUCGAUACUCCCGUGCUUGAGCACUGUAGAGGCAGGUGGAAUUCCGGGUGUAGCGGUGGAAUGCGUAGAGAUCCGGAAGAACACCCGGUGGCGAAGGCGGCCUGCUGGG